RNAcentral lists this unclassified non-coding RNA (218 nucleotides) under Hevea brasiliensis (rubber tree). The record is from RNAcentral. Lineage: Eukaryota; Viridiplantae; Streptophyta; Magnoliopsida; Malpighiales; Euphorbiaceae.
GAAAAUAUAAUUAUUUUCUUUUCAAUUUAAUCUUUAUUAUAUCUUCCCAAACUAGGGAAAAUAAUUAUAUUUUUCUAUCUCUCCUUUUUAUUUUCUAUCUAUCCAAAUAAGAACAAGAAAUUCACCUUUUAUUUUCCUUUCCCUCUAAAAAAAUUUCCUAAACACAGUGCAAAUGAUGAGGUUGGAAAGAGCAAUUCCGUUGCUCUGUAUUGUACACU